AGGAGAAUCCUAGUGUGGUCGAGGUGUAGUGUUGUCCAACCUUUGGAAGUACAAUGACCAAUCGAGGAAAGAAGAAUCAAAAGAUGUACCCCAAUAAGGUUAUACCCAACAUGACAAUGUCAUGGAGCUUCUGCCACAAUCAUAUGCGAGGACUCUUGAUUGUUCUAGGGGAGUAUCAUAUGUAGAACUUUUUUCAGAGAAAAGAUGUAGACUUGAGGCAUCUUUAGAGCCUUGGAAUACUUCAAAGAGACUUGAUUUUGAUGAGCCCCCAUAAGUUUAGGAUGUGCUAGAGACAUGUAAUAGUCAUUUGUGGACAAUUUGGGAUUCAUACAUAGUUAUUUUGCAUGCAUAUUUUGUAUAUAUAUUGAGAUGGCAUGUGCCACAUUUUAUUAAAUUUUGUUUGAGUUGGUG
Cryptomeria japonica (Japanese cedar) is the source of this 411-nucleotide long non-coding RNA. RefSeq lists it as uncharacterized. The record is from RefSeq and is a predicted model, not a curated record. The transcript has 4 exons. Lineage: Eukaryota; Viridiplantae; Streptophyta; Pinopsida; Cupressales; Cupressaceae.